GUGGGGAAUUUUGGACAAUGGGCGCAAGCCUGAUCCAGCCAUUCCGCGUGCAGGAUGAAGGCCUUCGGGUUGUAAACUGCUUUUGUACGGAACGAAAAGCCUCUGGUUAAUACCCGGGGGUCAUGACGGUACCGUAAGAAUAAGCACCGGCUAACUACGUGCCAGCAGCCGCGGUAAUACGUAGGGUGCGAGCGUUAAUCGGAAUUACUGGGCGUAAAGCGUGCGCAGGCGGUGAUGUAAGACAGACGUGAAAUCCCCGGGCUCAACCUGGGAAUGGCGUUUGUGACUGCAAAGCUGGAGUGCGGCAGAGGGGGAUGGAAUUCCGCGUGUAGCAGUGAAAUGCGUAGAUAUGCGGAGGAACACCGAUGGCGAAGGCAAUCCCCUGGGCCUGCACUGACGCUCAUGCACGAAAGCGUGGGGAGCAAACAGGAUUAGAUACCCCGGUAGUCC
Molecule: ribosomal RNA, 450 nt
Filed under: uncultured bacterium
Lineage: Bacteria
Description: partial 16S ribosomal RNA
Rfam family: Bacterial small subunit ribosomal RNA
Source: RNAcentral